GCGCACCAGGCGCGAAAACUCCGCAAUGCGUGGCAACGUGACGGGGUCAUCCCGAGUGUCACCUGCUGAAGGUGACUUUUGCCCGGUGUAACUAGCCGGGUGAAUAAGGGGAGGGCAAGUCUGGUGUCAGCCGCCGCGGUAAUACCAGCUCCUCGAGUGGUUGGGACGAUUAUUGGGUCUAAAGCGUCCGUAGCCGGUCGGAAAAGUUCUCCGUUAAAUCCAACGAUUCAAUCGUUGGGCUGCGGGGAAUACUCUUCGACUUGGGGGCGGGGGAGGCCGACGGUAGUCCAGGGGUAGGGGCGAAAUCCUAUAAUCCCGGGAGGACCACCAGUGGCGAAGGCGGCCGACUAAAACGCGCCCGACGGUGAGGGACGAAAGCUGGGGGAGCGAACGGGAUUAGAUAUGAAGUUGAGUUUUUACCAGCUUCACUAGAUACCCCGGUAGUCC
This 447-nucleotide ribosomal RNA is filed under the name uncultured archaeon. Its description in RNAcentral is "partial 16S ribosomal RNA". It matches the Rfam family "Archaeal small subunit ribosomal RNA", at positions 330 to 747 of the family's 1478-position model. The record is from RNAcentral.